GAGUUUGAUCCUGGCUCAGAUUGAACGCUGGCGGCAGGCCUAACACAUGCAAGUCGAGCGGAAACGAGUUAACUGAACCUUCGGGGAACGUUAACGGCGUCGAGCGGCGGACGGGUGAGUAAUGCCUGGGAAAUUGCCCUGAUGUGGGGGAUAACCAUUGGAAACGAUGGCUAAUACCGCAUAAUAGCUUCGGCUCAAAGAGGGGGACCUUCGGGCCUCUCGCGUCAGGAUAUGCCCAGGUGGGAUUAGCUAGUUGGUGAGGUAAUGGCUCACCAAGGCGACGAUCCCUAGCUGGUCUGAGAGGAUGAUCAGCCACACUGGAACUGAGACACGGUCCAGACUCCUACGGGAGGCAGCAGUGGGGAAUAUUGCACAAUGGGCGCAAGCCUGAUGCAGCCAUGCCGCGUGUAUGAAGAAGGCCUUCGGGUUGUAAAGUACUUUUUUUUUGAGGAAGGUGGGUAUGUUAAUAGCAUACUCAUUUGACGUUAGCUGCAGAAGAAGCACCGGCUAACUCCGUGCCAGCAGCCGCGGUAAUACGGAGGGUGCUAGUUUUUAAUCGGAAUUACUGGGCGUAAAGCGCAUGCAGGUGGUUNGUUAAGUCAGAUGUGAAAGCCCGGGGCUCAACCUCGGAAUUUGCAUUUGAAACUGGCAAACUAGAGUACUGUAGAGGGGGGGNAGAAUUUCAGGUGUAGCGGUGAAAUGCGUAUAGAAUCUGAAGGAAUACCGGUGGCGAANGCGGCCCCCNUGGAAC
Molecule: ribosomal RNA, 751 nt
Filed under: uncultured bacterium
Lineage: Bacteria
Description: bacterial SSU rRNA
Rfam family: Bacterial small subunit ribosomal RNA
Source: RNAcentral